ACACGACUCUCGGCAAUGGAUAUCUCGGCUCUCGCAUCGAUGAAGAGCGCAGCGAAAUGCGAUAUGUGGUGCGAAUUGCAGAAUCCCGCGAACCAUCGAGUCUUUGAACGCAAGUUGCGCCCGAGGCCAACCGGCUAAGGGCACGUCCGCCUGGGCGUCAAGC
RNAcentral lists this ribosomal RNA (163 nucleotides) under Dendrobium aduncum. RNAcentral describes it as "5.8S ribosomal RNA". It matches the Rfam family "5.8S ribosomal RNA". Rfam says of the family: 5.8S ribosomal RNA (5.8S rRNA) is a component of the large subunit of the eukaryotic ribosome. It is transcribed by RNA polymerase I as part of the 45S precursor that also contains 18S and 28S rRNA. Lineage: Eukaryota; Viridiplantae; Streptophyta; Magnoliopsida; Asparagales; Orchidaceae. The record is from RNAcentral.